AUGGAUGGAGGAAGCAGCGGUGUGGGCGCAGACGAGAUCUGGAGGCCAUGGGACGAGCACACUGUGCUCCGCCCGGAGGAGAUGGAGUACGUGCGACAGUUCCACCAGCACGAGCCAGGCGCCAACCAGUGCACCUCCUUCAUCGCCAAGCACAUCAAGGCGCCCCUCCAAACCGUUUGGUCACUUGUGAGGAGGUUUGACGAGCCACAAGUUUUCAAGCCUUUUGUGGAGAAGUGUGUGAUGCAAGGGAACAUUGAGCCAGGAUGUGUUAGAGAGGUCACUAUCAAAAGUGGGUUGCCUGGUACAUGGAGCACCGAGAGGUUGGAGCUGCUCGAUGAUAAUGAGCACAUCCUCAGUGUCAAGUUUAUUGAUGGUGAUCAUCCGCUAAAGAACUAUUCAUCUAUUUUGACGGUCCACCAUGAGGUCAUUGGUGGUCAUCCGGGAGCACUGGUAAUUGAGUCAUUUGUGGUCGACAUCCCAGAGGAGAACACUGAAAACGAGAUCUUUUACCUUGUUGGGAACUUUAUCAAGAUUAACCACAAUCUGCUUGCUGAUGUGUCAGAGAGACGCAACCGUGCACUAAACUAA
RNAcentral lists this ribosomal RNA (588 nucleotides) under Triticum aestivum (bread wheat). RNAcentral describes it as "partial small subunit ribosomal RNA". Lineage: Eukaryota; Viridiplantae; Streptophyta; Magnoliopsida; Poales; Poaceae. The record is from RNAcentral.